RNAcentral lists this transfer RNA (539 nucleotides) under uncultured Prochlorococcus sp. Its description in RNAcentral is "partial 16S-23S ribosomal RNA intergenic spacer". The stretch from base 210 to 282 matches the Rfam family "tRNA". The record is from RNAcentral. Lineage: Bacteria; Bacillati; Cyanobacteriota; Cyanophyceae; Synechococcales; Prochlorococcaceae.
GGGAGACCCACAAGGUUUAAUAUUAUAAUUUUGUCAUCUAAAGUCGAUCGGGAUCUCACGGUAUUAUUUUGUUAAAAAUUUCAUUUCCUAUGUUUUUCUAGGACACACCCAUUAUUUUUCCUGGGCCAUUAACUCAGGUGGAUAGAGCGCACCCCUGAUAAGGGAGAGGUCCCUGGUUCAAGUCCAGGAUGGCCCAUAUUCUCUAUGGUGGGGGUAUAACUCAAUUGAUAGAGCGCCUGCUUUGCAAGCAGGAUGGCAGCGGUUCGAGACCGCUUACCUCCACUGAUUACCACCUCUUCCAUAACUGGUANAAAGGAAAUGUUUUGAGUUGUGAUUAUUAUUCUGAACUAAUCUAGCUUCCUAAUGAAAUCAUUAAGAUGCUGGACUCAUUGAAUUAAUUUCAUUGUUUUCAGAGAACCUUGACAACUGCAUAGAUUUUUUUAAAGACAAUAAGCAUCUUUAAUGAUGCAGAUUUAUUAUUUGUGCGAAUGCAUUAAUAACAAUUCUAUUAAGCUGAUGCUUCAAUUUUUGAAGUUAUU